UGAGUACGAGAUGCUACGGCAUCGAAGCAGUCUAUGUCAUACUUCCAAGAAAAGCUUGCACUGUCAGAAACAGAUAAUGCCUGUACCAUAACCGACACAGGUGGGUAGGUAGAGUAUACUAAGGGGCGCGAGAUAACUCUCUCUAAGGAACUCGGCAAAAUGACUCCGUAACUUCGGGAGAAGGAGUGCCUUAUUUUUAAGGUUGCAAUAACAAGAUCCAAGCAACUGUUUACCAAAAACACAGGUCUCCGCUAAGUCGUAAGACGAUGUAUGGGGGCUGACGCCUGCCCAGUGCCAGAAGGUUAAAGAAGUCGGUUAGCAUUCGCGAAGCUGGUAACUGAAGCCCUGGUGAACGGCGGCCGUAACUAUAACGGUCCUAAGGUAGCGAAAUUCCUUGUCGGGUAAGUUCCGACCCGCACGAAAGGCGUAAUGAUUUGGAUACUGUCUCGGAGAGGGGCUCGGUGAAAUAGACUUGUCUGUGAAGAUGCGGACUACCUGCACCUGGACAGAAAGACCCUAUGAAGCUUUACUGUAACUCGAAAUUGAAAUUGGACUUUAUUUGCGCAGUAUAGGUGGGAGGCGUAGAAAAUAUUCUUGCGGGAAUAUUGGAGCCAUCAGUGAGAUACCACUCUUGUAAUGUUAGAUUUCUAACUUUGUAUCAUUAUCUGGUUAAAGAACAGUUUCAGGCGGGCAGUUUGACUGGGGCGGUCGCCUCCCAAAUGGUAACGGAGGCGCACAAAGGUUUCCUCUGAACGGGUAGAAAUCGUAUCUAGAGUGUAAAGGCAUAAGGAAGCUUGACUGUGAGACCUACAAGUCGAGCAGGGACGAAAGUCGGUCUUAGUGAUCUGACGGUGCUGAGUGGAAAGGCCGUCACUCAACGGAUAAAAGUUACUCUAAGGAUAACAGGCUGAUCUCCCCCAAGAGUUCACAUCGACGGGGAGGUUUGGCACCACGAUGUCGGCUCAUCGCAUCCUGGGGCGGUAGUACGUCCCAAGGGUUGGGCUGUUCGCCCAUGAAAGCGGUACGCGAGCUGGGUUCAGAACGUCGUGAGACAGUUCGGUCCAUAUCCGGUGUAGGCGUUAGAAUAUUGAGAGGAGCCUUCUUUAGUACGAGAGGACCGAGAAGGACAUACCUCUGGUGUACCAGUUAUCGUGCCAACGGUAAACGCUGGGUAGCUAUGUAUGGAGUGGAUAACCGCUGAAAGCAUCUAAGUGGGAAGCCCACCUCAAGAUAAG
RNAcentral lists this ribosomal RNA (1235 nucleotides) under metagenome. Its description in RNAcentral is "bacterial LSU rRNA". It matches the Rfam family "Bacterial large subunit ribosomal RNA", at positions 1564 to 2808 of the family's 2925-position model. The record is from RNAcentral.